This 231-nucleotide ribosomal RNA is filed under the name uncultured bacterium. RNAcentral's name for it is "partial 16S ribosomal RNA". It matches the Rfam family "Bacterial small subunit ribosomal RNA", at positions 103 to 334 of the family's 1533-position model. The record is from RNAcentral.
CGGGUGAGUAACACGUAUCCAACCUGCCGUCUACUCUUGGACAGCCUUCUGAAAGGAAGAUCAAUACAAGAUGGCAUCAUGAGUUCACAUGUUCACAUGAUUAAAGGUAUUCCGGUAGACGAUGGGGAUGCGUUCCAUUAGAUAGUAGGCGGGGUAACGGCCCACCUAGUCUUCGAUGGAUAGGGGUUCUGAGAGGAAGGUCCCCCACAUUGGAACUGAGACACGGUCCAA